CGCGUAGGUGGUAGUGCAAGUCUGGGGUGGAAUCUUAGGGCUUAACCCUAAAAACUGCCUUGGAAACUGCAUUACUUGAGUCAGUGAGGGGAGGGUAGAAUUCCUGGUGUAGCGGUGAAAUGCGUAGAUAUCAGGAGGAAGGCCUGUGGCGAAGGCGGCCCUCUGGCGCUGAACUGACACUGAGGCGCGAAAGCGUGGGUAGCAAACAGGAUUAGAUACCCUGGUAGUCCACGCCCUAAACGGUGGGUACUAGGUGUAGGGCUCGUAAGGGUUCUGUGCCGAAGGGAAACCAUUAAGUACCCCGCCUGGGGAGUACGGCCGCAAGGUUGAA
This 331-nucleotide ribosomal RNA is filed under the name uncultured bacterium. RNAcentral's name for it is "bacterial SSU rRNA". It matches the Rfam family "Bacterial small subunit ribosomal RNA", at positions 568 to 898 of the family's 1533-position model. The record is from RNAcentral.